This 323-nucleotide long non-coding RNA is filed under the name Bos taurus (domestic cattle). RNAcentral describes it as "long non-coding RNA NONBTAT000972". Lineage: Eukaryota; Metazoa; Chordata; Mammalia; Artiodactyla; Bovidae. The record is from RNAcentral.
GCCAUAUUAGCUUCAUCUAUAUCUUUUGCUGAAGCAUUUUAAAAUAAGACACAAAUCUAACAGUUCACCCGUAACUGCUUAAGUAUACAUCACCAACAUUUAGCUUAUUAAUGUUUUAUGACAUAAACCCAGUAUCAUUAUUGCAUCUAACAAAAUUAACAGUAUCAAAAUAUCUUUGUGAUCAAUAGCUUUUCACAUUCCUAUUUCCUCAAAUGUCUUGAAAAUGUUUUUUCCCUUGGUUUGUCACUAUAUUUUUGAAAUCCUCUUUUGUAGCUUUCUCUCUUUGUGCUCACAUGGUUUUCCAUGUAUUUAAUCAUUCGGGC